This 1391-nucleotide long non-coding RNA is filed under the name Mytilus galloprovincialis (Mediterranean mussel). The record is from RNAcentral. Lineage: Eukaryota; Metazoa; Mollusca; Bivalvia; Mytilida; Mytilidae.
GAGACACAAAACUAUCAAAAAGACUCACAAAAAGAAUGUAAAUAAAGGCAACAGUAGUAUACCGCUGUUCGAACUCAUAAAUCCAUGGACAAAAAACAAAAUCGGGGUAACAAACUAAAACUGAGGGAAGCGCAUUAAAUAUAAGAGGAGAACAACGACACAACACUACAAUGUAAGACACACAGAAACGGACCAAGCAUCAGACAAAAUCCCACGAAAAUAACAAAUAUAACAUCAAAACCAAAUAAAUGAAUUUGGGAUAGACAAGUACCGUGACACGUCUUAUCGCAAUGUCAAUUUACACUCAAAAAUAAGAGAAAACAAACGACGCAACGUUAAAUUGUAACACACAUAGAAACGAACUAUAAUAUAACAAUGGCCAUAUUCCAGACUUGGUACAGGACAUUUUUAAAGGAAAAAAUGGUGGGUUGAACCUGGUUUUGUGGCAUGCCAAACCUCCCCUUUUAUAGCCAUGUGAAAUAUAACAUUAAAAUGACAACUCCACACCACAGGACUACAAUAUAAAUAAAUUGGAGAACACAAUUGACAAAGAAACACACGAACAACAGCCAACAAAAGGCAACAAGUUCAAAAUUUUAAUACGCCAGAAGUGCAUUUUGUCCACACAAGAUAUAAUAGUGACGCCCAGAUACAAAAGUUUGAAAGCCGAAACAAGCACGAAGUCGAACAGCAUCGAGGACCAAAAGAUAAAAUAAGGUUGUGCCAAAAACGGCCAGGGUUUUCUGUUAGUUACCAGAGCAUCCCUAUUAUUUAGAAUAAUUUAUACUUUUGCAAACAGUAAAUUUAUAAAAUUACUAUACAAAAGAUUUACAUGAUGAAACUGAAGUAUGAACUAAUUACAGGAAACAACUGAAAUGCAUUACAUAACCAGACAUUUGCAACACAAAAUGUAGACACAUCCGAAUAAGUUUAAAACUCAACGCCAAGUGACGUCAUAUUUGAAAUUGUAAAAAAUGACAAAAAAAUGACGUCAUUUGAAUUUGUAAAACAGAUCAUUAAAAAAUGAAAAAUGACGUCGCAUUUGAAUGAAUAAGAUAUUAUUAAAAGCUUAUACUACAUACACCCAUGACAUGAUCAACCCUGAACAGAAAUUCAAUCCUAAGAAGUUUUGAAGCUUAAUAAAGAAUAAAAGAUGCCAAAAUGGAGGAGUGGCGCCACUUAGACACACAAAUGUAGUUCUAAUGUUCAAGAAAAGGAAUCGUAGCCAAGCAUCAAACUACCAAAAUUUCUUGCUUACUACAAUAUUAUGAAAGUAUUGGUGCAUAUCACAUUAAACACAUAGAAAGUCACUUCAUCUCGACUGAUGCUCCACAUGGUUUUAGAGAAUGGCGGUCCAGUUCAUAAAUGUGCACGCUACCCUCCCCCCCCCC